Callithrix jacchus (white-tufted-ear marmoset) is the source of this 105-nucleotide small nuclear RNA. The record is from Ensembl. NCBI's taxonomy places the organism in Eukaryota, Metazoa, Chordata, Mammalia, Primates, Cebidae.
GCUCACUUCAGCGGCGCAUAUACUAAAAAUGGAAUGAUACAGAGAAGAUCAGCAUGGUCCCUGUGCAAGGAGGACAUGCAAAUUUGUGAAGUAUUCCAUUAAAAA